Molecule: ribosomal RNA, 437 nt
Filed under: Salmonella enterica
Lineage: Bacteria; Pseudomonadati; Pseudomonadota; Gammaproteobacteria; Enterobacterales; Enterobacteriaceae
Also listed under: 1 other name
Description: partial 23S ribosomal RNA
Rfam family: Bacterial large subunit ribosomal RNA
Source: RNAcentral
GGGGGUGAAAGGCCAAUCAAACCGGGAGAUAGCUGGUUCUCCCCGAAAGCUAUUUAGGUAGCGCCUCGUGAAUUCAUCUCCGGGGGUAGAGCACUGUUUCGGCUAGGGGGCCAUCCCGGCUUACCAACCCGAUGCAAACUGCGAAUACCGGAGAAUGUUAUCACGGGAGACACACGGCGGGUGCUAACGUCCGUCGUGAAGAGGGAAACAACCCAGACCGCCAGCUAAGGUCCCAAAGUCAUGGUUAAGUGGGAAACGAUGUGGGAAGGCCCAGACAGCCAGGAUGUUGGCUUAGAAGCAGCCAUCAUUUAAAGAAAGCGUAAUAGCUCACUGGUCGAGUCGGCCUGCGCGGAAGAUGUAACGGGGCUAAACCAUGCACCGAAGCUGCGGCAGCGACGCUGAUGCGUUGUUGGGUAGGGGAGCGUUCUGUAAGCCUG